RNAcentral lists this microRNA precursor (182 nucleotides) under Prunus dulcis (almond). RNAcentral's name for it is "sRNA ncRNA". Lineage: Eukaryota; Viridiplantae; Streptophyta; Magnoliopsida; Rosales; Rosaceae. The record is from RNAcentral.
GGUUGUUGUUGUUGGUGGUGUUGCUGGUGGCAUUGGUGGUGGAAGAGGUAUUAUUAGAAGUGAUGUUAUUGAAAGGAGGAGGUAAAGCCUCCACGUCCGGAACCGUGAACAUAUCUUCAUCGCUCUCUUCUGGAACAUUAACAUCAUCACCAUCAUCACCAUCACCAUCAUCAUCAUCAUCA